ACAACAAAAACUUAAAUAAUUGAGUAAAUUGCCCUGUGCAAGUGCUCAUGGGAAGUCUGGUGUAACAUCAGAGACAAGAAGGCUGUGAGGAUGUGAGAAUGGACAUGAAGCACCUGAAACAUUCUGGAACACUCCUUACAAAUCCUGCACCAACACCACUAAUGAAGAGAAGUUGAAUGGAGAUAAAACAGGAGGUGCCAGCAUUAUGGGAUGGCGGUGUAAACUGUGUGCAUUUGUCGCAUCAUCAAAAGGAAUUUCGAUCAUUAUGAAGUGAAGCAUGGUGCUCUUGGUGAUGGAUAUUUAGUGUCCU
This is a long non-coding RNA of Clarias gariepinus (North African catfish), 310 nucleotides long. RefSeq lists it as uncharacterized. The transcript is spliced from 3 exons. Lineage: Eukaryota; Metazoa; Chordata; Actinopteri; Siluriformes; Clariidae. The record is from RefSeq and is a predicted model, not a curated record.